This 729-nucleotide ribosomal RNA is filed under the name Staphylococcus aureus. Its description in RNAcentral is "partial 23S ribosomal RNA". It matches the Rfam family "Bacterial large subunit ribosomal RNA", at positions 832 to 1561 of the family's 2925-position model. Lineage: Bacteria; Bacillati; Bacillota; Bacilli; Caryophanales; Staphylococcaceae. The record is from RNAcentral.
AUCGAACCUGGAGAUAGCUGGUUCUCUCCGAAAUAGCUUUAGGGCUAGCCUCAAGUGAUGAUUAUUGGAGGUAGAGCACUGUUUGGACGAGGGGCCCCUCUCGGGUUACCGAAUUCAGACAAACUCCGAAUGCCAAUUAAUUUAACUUGGGAGUCAGAACAUGGGUGAUAAGGUCCGUGUUCGAAAGGGAAACAGCCCAGACCACCAGCUAAGGUCCCAAAAUAUAUGUUAAGUGGAAAAGGAUGUGGCGUUGCCCAGACAACUAGGAUGUUGGCUUAGAAGCAGCCAUCAUUUAAAGAGUGCGUAAUAGCUCACUAGUCGAGUGACACUGCGCCGAAAAUGUACCGGGGCUAAACAUAUUACCGAAGCUGUGGAUUGUCCUUUGGACAAUGGUAGGAGAGCGUUCUAAGGGCGUUGAAGCAUGAUCGUAAGGACAUGUGGAGCGCUUAGAAGUGAGAAUGCCGGUGUGAGUAGCGAAAGACGGGUGAGAAUCCCGUCCACCGAUUGACUAAGGUUUCCAGAGGAAGGCUCGUCCGCUCUGGGUUAGUCGGGUCCUAAGCUGAGGCCGACAGGCGUAGGCGAUGGAUAACAGGUUGAUAUUCCUGUACCACCUAUAAUCGUUUUAAUCGAUGGGGGGACGCAGUAGGAUAGGCGAAGCGUGCGAUUGGAUUGCACGUCUAAGCAGUAAGGCUGAGUAUUAGGCAAAUCCGGUACUCGUUAAGGCUGAGC